Cucurbita maxima (winter squash) is the source of this 181-nucleotide long non-coding RNA. RefSeq lists it as uncharacterized. The transcript is spliced from 3 exons. The record is from RefSeq and is a predicted model, not a curated record. Lineage: Eukaryota; Viridiplantae; Streptophyta; Magnoliopsida; Cucurbitales; Cucurbitaceae.
AUCUUCCGUGAGGCAUUCCAAGAGUUCUCAGGGACAUGCUUCCUAAAUACUAUCGACAUCUAAAUAAGCACGGCUCGUCAUUGUUGACCACAUUAUAUGGACUUCACGUAGUGAGACCCGUCGGAGGUAUUAAGGUUUACUUUGUAGGCAUGUCAAACGUCUUGCAAUCAGAUUUGCACUU